CCAGCCUAAACCUAAAGGUCUCUAUAGUUACCCAGCCUAAACCCAAAGGUCUCUAUAGUUACCCAGCCUAAACCUAAAGGUCUCUAUAGUUACCCAGCCUAAAGGUCUCUAUAGUUACCCAGCCUAAACCUAAAGGUCUCUAUAGUUACCCAGCCUAAACCUAAAGGUCUCUAUAGUUACCCAGCCUAAACCCAAAGGUCUCUGUAGUUACCCAGCCUAAAGGUCUCUAUAGUUACCCAGCCUAAACCUAAAGGUCUCUGUAGCUACCCAGCCUAAAGGUCUCUAUAGUUACCCAGCCUAAACCUAAAGGUCUCUAUAGUUACCCAGCCUAAACCUAAAGGUCUCUAUAGUUACCCAGCCUAAAGGUCUCUAUAGUCACCCAGCCUAAACCUAAAGGUCUCUAUAGUUACCCAGCCUAAACCUAAAGGUCUCUGUAGUUACCCAGCCUAAACCUAAAGGUCUCUAUAGUUACCCAGCCUAAAGGUCUCUAUAGUUACCCAGCCUAAACCCAAAGGUCUCUAUAGUUACCCAGCCUAAACCCAAAGGUCUCUAUAGUUACCCAGCCUAAACCUAAAGGUCUCUAUAGUUACCCAGCCUAAAGGUCUCUGUAGUUACCCAGCCUAAACCUAAAGGUCUCUAUAGUUACCCAGCCUAAACCUAAAGGUCUCUAUAGUUACCCAGCCUAAACCCAAAGGUCUCUAUAGUUACCCAGCCUAAACCUAAAGGUCUCUAUAGUUACCCAGCCUAAACCCAAAGGUCUCUAUAGUUACCCAGCCUAAAGGUCUCUGUAGUUACCCAGCCUAAAGGUCUCUAUAGUUACCCAGCCUAAACCUAAAGGUCUCUAUAGUUACCCAGCCUAAACCUAAAGGUCUCUGUAGUUACCCAGCCUAAACCUAAAGGUCUCUAUAGUUACCCAGCCUAAACCUAAAGGUCUCUGUAGUUACCCAGCCUAAACCUAAAGGUCUCUAUAGUUACCCAGCCUAACCCUAACCCUAACCCUAAACCUAAUGGGCUCUACAUUUACCCAGCCUAAACCUAAAGAGCUCUACAGUUACCCAGCCUAAACCUAAAGAGCUCUAUAGUUACCCAGCCUAAACCCAAGGUCUCUAUAGUUACCCAGCCUAAACCCAAAGGUCUCUAUAGUUACCCAGCCUAAACCCAAAGGUCUCUAUAGUUACCCAGCCUAAACCCAAAGGUCUCUGUAGUUACCCAGCCUAAAGGUCUCUAUAGUUACCCAGCCUAAAGGUCUCUAUAGUUACCCAGCCUAACGGUCUCUAUAGUUACCCAGCCUAAACCUAAAGAGCAAGCGAAGCAGAAGCACAGACAGGUUCCUCCAGCUAACACCAUCUCUCUGUUCCCUCUAUGGUUGUGCAGGUGGUUGAGCUGUCCGAGAGGGCGACUCUGGACAAGGCCAUGGUAGAGCUAUGGGGUCUGGAGGACUACAUUUGGGGGAGGGGCCUCCGCAGGAACUGAGGAAGUAAUCGGACAACCAGGAACAAUACACACACACACAGAGACACACGCGUUACCGUGACUAGAUAUACACAGUCCUGCGUUACAGUGACUACAUAUACACAGUCCUGCGUUACAGUGACUACAUAUACACAGCCCUGCGUUACAGUGACUACAUAUACACAGCCCUGCGUUACCGUGACUACAUUUACACAGCCCUGCGUUACCGUGACUACAUUUACCGUCUUGAUGUCACAUUUACUGGUUUUACCCUCGUGAGCUGUCGUUGCUUGUAGCCAUAUUCCCUUAGACAUGUUCUGACACGUCCCCUGUUGUUUGUCCAUUUCUUCAUCUACUUUGGAUAACUGUCAACAAUUUGAUUGACUUGGAAUUUUGAACUUGUCCAAUAUUCAGUUGGGGAGAAUAUUUGCGUCCACUGUUGCUGCUAGUACUGCAUGUUAUGUUAUGUUGCUACUAGUACUACAUGUUCUGUUACUACUAGUACUAUAUGUUAUGUUUCUGCUAGUACUAUAUGUUAUGUUUCUGCUAGUACUAUAUGUUAUGUUGCUACUAGUACUACAUGUUCUCUUUCUGCUAGUACUAUAUGUUAUGUUACUGCUAGUACUACAUGUUCUGUUUCUGCUAGUACUACAUGUUCUGUUACUACUAGUACUACAUGUUCUGUUACUGCUAGUACUACAUGUUAUUUGACUGCUAGUACUGCAUGUUCUUUCUGUACU
This is a long non-coding RNA of Oncorhynchus tshawytscha (Chinook salmon), 2192 nucleotides long. NCBI's taxonomy places the organism in Eukaryota, Metazoa, Chordata, Actinopteri, Salmoniformes, Salmonidae. The record is from Ensembl.